Molecule: ribosomal RNA, 467 nt
Filed under: uncultured bacterium
Lineage: Bacteria
Description: partial 16S ribosomal RNA
Rfam family: Bacterial small subunit ribosomal RNA
Source: RNAcentral
GACGAACGCUGGCGGCGUGCUUAACACAUGCAAGUCGAACGGAAAGGCCCUGCUUUUGUGGGGUGCUCGAGUGGCGAACGGGUGAGUAACACGUGAGUAACCUGCCCUUGACUUUGGGAUAACUUCAGGAAACUGGGGCUAAUACCGGAUAGGAGCUCCUGCUGCAUGGUGGGGGUUGGAAAGUUUCGGCGGUUGGGGAUGGACUCGCGGCUUAUCAGCUUGUUGGUGGGGUAGUGGCUUACCAAGGCUUUGACGGGUAGCCGGCCUGAGAGGGUGACCGGCCACAUUGGGACUGAGAUACGGCCCAGACUCCUACGGGAGGCAGCAGUGGGGAAUAUUGCACAAUGGGCGGAAGCCUGAUGCAGCAACGCCGCGUGCGGGAUGACGGCCUUCGGGUUGUAAACCGCUUUCGCCUGUGACGAAGCGUGAGUGACGGUAAUGGGUAAAUAAGCACCGGCUAACUACGU